CACGGCUCACACAGCAGUGUAAACGAGCGUAACAGACGUUUGGUUUGGUGUUUGUAACUCUCCAAGAAGAGAAGACGGGUGCACAAUCCCAAGAUUGCGGAGGCUGUACGGCGUCUCUGAGGCACACUGCAGGCGCUAUGAACCAGAGCAAAGACUAACGUCGCCUCAUAACAAAGCCGUGACCUCCGAUUUGCUUGGGGCUAUUUUAGCAAGUCCAGAUUUAACUGCUGAGAAUGACGACAUUGUUUGUAAGUAUAACUUCUAAUGUUUUUCCUCAUUUCUUGUUUAAUUGUACCGUGACUCUUUUUAUUAAUACCAGUCUCAUUUAA
Molecule: non-coding RNA, 329 nt
Organism: Paramisgurnus dabryanus
Lineage: Eukaryota; Metazoa; Chordata; Actinopteri; Cypriniformes; Cobitidae
Source: RefSeq, a predicted model, not a curated record